RNAcentral lists this long non-coding RNA (3251 nucleotides) under Nilaparvata lugens (brown planthopper). RNAcentral's name for it is "uncharacterized LOC111047484". Lineage: Eukaryota; Metazoa; Arthropoda; Insecta; Hemiptera; Delphacidae. The record is from RNAcentral.
GAAGAGGUGGGUUCAUGAUUUUUUGUAGAAUUUUCACAAGGUUCCUUCUCCCUCCUGAUGUGAAAAAACAGAUGAGAAGCGAGCGUAAGAUUCAAAUUUCGCGCGGUUCCUGCCUACUGAGUACUGAAGCACGUCAUGAGAAUGGAAUUUCGCCAUUCUAUUGGCCGGUUUCGGAAGGGACUCAUGUAUACAGACUCUAUCAAAAUUCAAUUCAUAGUUCAUACAAGGCAGCUCCUACACAUCAGUUUGAAUUCAUUAUAGCGUUCGGAAUCACGGCGCCUGGAGUCUAUUAUUUACUUAACAAAUUCCUUUUAGUCUGGAAGUGGUAAGCUCAAAGCUGGCGGGUUCCAAUACUUGUAGUUGGCUAGUUUGCAGUUAGUACUUGAACUGUAUGUUAGUGCACGGAGCUUUUCCUUUGUUUUCCCUUUGAAUAGUUUUAGUUUUGAUCUUUCUUUCGUUCUUUCUCUCUUACGUUCUAGCUUUAUAAUACGUUCUAGGUACAUACAUAUAGGUCCACAUUUUUAUUAUAAAGCAAGAGGAACAUCACCAGCAUGUUUCAAUUUUCAAUGCGAGAACUGUGAUGCCAUAAUGGCAGAAGCCACUUUCUUGUCUACAUCUCAAAUAAUAGAAAUUGCACGGGCGUGAAAUCUACGUACAGCAGUGAUGAGAUUCUGGAAUUCCAUUGUCUGCAAUGUCUACCCCUAUAAUUGAAGAGCAGAUUUGAAGCUGUAGUUUUGCAAAAUUUCAUGUUCGAUGAUGAUGCUGAUGAUUAUGAGAAUUCUCAAUUUCAACAACUUCCGGCCACUUCCUCCUUCAACGAUAAACUGUCGGUUCCUGCUGCCUAGAACCAUAGAUAAAGGAUAAUAUUUAUAUUUCUUGUCUCUACUAGAACGUUGUGGUCAUUUUAUAAUCACUCCUUCCAUUACCGACACACAAGCCAAGGGCUAAUGUGGGUAUCACACUCCAAAAAUAAUACUUCGACACUGCAGUAUUUCAGCACUUGUUUAUAAUAAACAAUGACGAUUUUCUAAGAGAAGAAUAGUUUGAAAAAAUCCUAGUAUAGCAUAAAAUAACACCAAACAUAUUUUUUGCAGGCUUCAAAUAGAUUGAAUUAAGUUAUUGUCAAUGAGAGCAUUUAUUCAAAGGAGAGGAGCACAGAGGUGCGUGAAGCUACCUCGUUGUGAAGAGCAGACCGUUGGGUGUGUACUUCAGCGACUCGAGUGACAGUUUGUAUUGUAGCUCACAGGACUCUAAUAUUUUGUUAUUGACCAAGGAGCUCAGCAAAUCUGACAAUGAGUGUACUGAGGCUACAGACCGUUAGGUGUGUCUCAUAACCCCCCAUGGGCAAUUCUCCUGACGAAUAAUGUUGUAGAAAUUCACUUAGACCGCGGGACUAUAUUUUAUUAUAGAACUAUUGGACUAUUGUGAAUUUCAACAUUUCUACAUGAAAAUAAUCUUUCUUCACUUUGAGCCUACAAAUUAAAAUGAGUUACAUAUUUAAAUUCAAGUGCAAUUAUAUUCUCUUUUCCAUAGUUAAUGUCUUGUUUAGAAUUCACAAUAAUUUUAUUCCACCGAAAUAUAUAUUUAUAUUAAUUCUAAACAUAAAUAAAUUUUAAUAUUCAUAUAUAAUAUUACUCAUAAUAACCAAUAUGAGAGAAAUGUAGAUUCAAUUAUAUAUUUUCAAUUCUAAACAUCCAAAAUCAAAACGGAGUUUUCAUCAGUCAAAAGCUUGUCAGUAAUCUUGUUUUAUUUUUUAUAAUAAUAGUUUACAACAUACAAUAUAAUUAUGUUAAUAUUUCAGUCGAAAUUCUGAAUGUGAAUGUGAAACUUGUUGCUUCGUUUUUCAAUAGAAGAAUACUAUCAAUUAUUAUUAUUUAUAAUAUUAGAAUUAUGUAUAAUAAUGAUCAUUAUUGAUAAAAUCUUGAACAUUUUAUUGAAUAAAUUGAAAUGAAUGGGGUUUAUUAAAAUUUAUUUUCAUUGGUGUCAACGUUCUAAAAAUUAAGGUGGACCAAUAACGGUAUUGUCAGUUCCACAUAAUUUAUAUUAGCCAAACUUGAAGUUUCAAUGCACUAGGGCAUCAUCUUCAGUGGUAUUUUUCUCAAAGAAUGAUCUAAGAUGGUCUCUAUCUAAAAGACCACUCACUGAAGAUGAUGCCUUGAAACUCAAGUUUGGCUCAAAUAAAUGAUGUGAAACGGACAAUAUCGUUUUUAUUCCACCUCAAUAUGGAAAAAUUCCACAAUAUCUCUGUUCAUAGUGUAUAAGAGAUGUUUUAAUGUUUACAUGAGUAUAAUUAAUUGUAGAUUUAAGUGAAAUUUUUAAUAUUUUUGGCGAUUGUGAAGGAAGAUUUUUGUUUUGAUUUGUAUUUUGAAAUUAAUUAAUCUGAUAAAUUCAAAGUUGUAGAAGAUACAUUUUUUUGGACUCAAAAUAGAGUGUGAAUUAAGUUAUAAUUUUUACAAAACCUCUAGACUAUGUAUUCCAAAUUGAGGUUUAGAGCAGUUUUGGGCGAAUGCCUGUUGUUUUUACCUGGAUUGUAUUUGUACAUGAAUAAAUAAAUAAGUUCUAAAAAUAGGUCAAGAAUUUCAUUUUUAUAGUUGCAUACUGUAUUUUUCAUACAUAUUCAUGGCAUGGCACACUGAAUUAUUGAUUUGUACUUGUGUAUUUUACCUAGUCAGAAAUAUUAUAUUGACUUCAAUCUAAUUUGCCAAAGGAAAAAUGUAUAAUGUAAUUUUGUCUAUUGUCAAUCUUAUUUUGAAUAGAUUAUUAGACUAGUUGACUACUAAAUCAAGUCUUUGUUGCAAAGUGUUUUUCUAAAGUUUGUAAAUCUUACAAAUUAUUGGAUUGUAAUCCAAUACCUAUAUUUUUGAAAUUUAUAAUUCACUGAGAUGAGUUGUCAUGAGAAAGUUUUUUAAAAGGCAAAUUUAUUCAUGUCAAAUCAAAUGUUUUGUUUUUCAUUUUUAUAUUUUAUUCAUCUUCUUUAAUUCCAAUAUUCGAUAUUUUAUACAUCUAGGCCUGAAUCUACCAUCAUUUAUUAUCUAUAGGUCUUAAAUUAUAAUAGGGCAAAUUAUCUGCAAUAAAAAAUGCGCAAUUCUUGAGAGGUAAAAAAUCGUAUAAGAUUGUGCAUUUCGAAAAAAAAUGACUAAGGUUGUUGGAUAAACUUUUAUCAUACAACUUGUUUUUUGGCUGAUUCAUGUGCCUUUCUUGAAAUUGCCUUUGUUGUUUGAUGACAAUAAAUUCCAUCCACUUAUUAUUUA